This is a long non-coding RNA of Cucurbita maxima (winter squash), 957 nucleotides long. RefSeq lists it as uncharacterized. The record is from RefSeq and is a predicted model, not a curated record. The transcript has 2 exons. Lineage: Eukaryota; Viridiplantae; Streptophyta; Magnoliopsida; Cucurbitales; Cucurbitaceae.
CUGCGCUCGACCUCAGCGAUAGCUCCGAUGAGGUCUCCCAUGAUUCGUUCUUCGAUGACAGAAGAGAGAGAGCACGUCCCGUCGGCGAUGCACCUGCUACACUGCUGGCAGAACCUCUGUUCUAAGCCAACAACCACAACUUUGGGAGCCUUGGAGUGCAUCUCGCAGACCCUAUGCCUACGGUGGUAGUCCUUAGCGUUCACCAGCGCCACAUGACACCCUUCCACUUGACACCGAGGAACGCUAAUCGGAACUGUACUGUACAACGGCUUCCCUCUCUUCCCCACGACGGACGGCGCAGUGGCGUCCUCAAAGUAGUGCCUCUUGCCGAGCUUCAAGCACAUGAGAUAUGGGUCCCGGUGGAAAUGGCCGCCCUGAUGGUGAUCUCCGGCGUAGAGACACUGGUGGUGUUGGUGGGCGUCACCGUGGGUGGAGUUGGCAGUGGCCCAAUCCAAGUGGAAGCGAGAGGAAUUGAGGUGCUCCCAAACGUUAGUGGGGUUGGCAGUUUGGUCUCUUCCAGCAUUGGACUGUCCAAUCAAAUUGCCACAAAUCUCCAUCUCAAGAACUGCAAGAACUGCAGCAAAAGAAGGAAAGGAAGAAGAGAGGUUAGAAAUGGUGGGCGAAGAAAUAGGCAUAAGGGGUUGGGGGAAUUUAUACCAAAAUAAGUAAAGAAGAGGGUGGUGUCGGAAAAAACCGAGACAGAGACAGAGGGAAACAGAGGGCUAAAAAUACUUGAAUUAAAUUUUAAAUAAGUGAAAAUUUUAAUUUAAUUAUUAAAAAAGAUUAAAAAAAAUUGUGAUUGUGAAGAACGGAUAGAGAAGAGGGUGGGCCAUACCCGUGUAGAAGGUGGGAUCCAUAUCAAGAUCUCCUAAACACAGCAGAGAUUGUGAUUGUGACCACUCCUACUAUAUAUGUAUUUAUGAGAUUAUUUUUUUAAAUAUUGUAUUUUUAUUUUUA